RNAcentral lists this unclassified non-coding RNA (1954 nucleotides) under Hevea brasiliensis (rubber tree). Lineage: Eukaryota; Viridiplantae; Streptophyta; Magnoliopsida; Malpighiales; Euphorbiaceae. The record is from RNAcentral.
GUGUUUAGUAACGUGGAGCCGAGCGGAUCACUCAAAACGCCAUAUGAAUCAGCUUCUUCCUCCUUUGCACCAGAAAAAUCCAAUUGCUUCAAUGGAGUUUACUCUAGCUUCUUCUGCUUCAGCAAAAACUGCACUACUCAGCUGCCGCCAAAUGGGACUGGGUUCGCCUAAAUUACCAAAUGUUUGGAGGAGAAGUUCAUGGCGUUCUCGUAGCUCAAGGAGGAAUACAUCGUUACGCACUGUUGCCAUGAGCACUACAGCAGGAUUGGUAAACAAUAUGGAAGCUCCUGAAGCCAAUGCUCAAAAUGUUAAUUAUAUGUGGCCUGAUAAAAAGAGGCCAAGGAUCUGCAUAAUAGGUGGUGGGUUUGGAGGUCUUUAUACAGCACUGAGGUUAGAAUCACUUGUUUGGCCUGAUGACAAGAAACCACAGGUAGUCCUCAUCGAUCAAUCGGAACGUUUCGUUUUUAAGCCAUUGUUGUAUGAACUUCUCUCUGGAGAAGUUGAGGCAUGGGAAAUUGCUCCACAAUUCUCAGACUUGCUUGCCAAUACUGGUGUGAGGUUCUUCAAAGACAGGGUAAAAUGCUUAUAUCCAUGUGACCACUUGGGAACUAAUGCACCUACAGCAGGGACUGUUCAUCUCGAAAGUGGUCUCCUCAUAGAAUAUGACUGGUUGGUCCUUGCUAUAGGAGCUGAGGCCAAACUUGAUAUUGUUCCAGGCGCUGCAGAUUAUGCCUUGCCAUUUUAUACCCUAGAGGAUGCUCAUAGGGUUGAUAAAAAGCUAAGAGAAUUAGAGCGCAAAAACUUCGGUAAGGACUCUGCAAUACGAGUAGCAGUGGUUGGAUGUGGUUAUGGAGGAGUUGAGUUAGCUGCCACGAUAUCGGAAAGGUUGCAACAAAAGGGAAUUGUACAAGCGAUUAAUGUUGAUAAGACAAUUUUGUCAAAUGCUCCAGCAGGAAACAGGGAAGCAGCACUAAAAGUACUUUCUUCCAGGAAAGUUCAACUCAUACUUGGUUAUUUUGUCCGAUGUAUAACAAAAGGAAACGAGCCUCAGACUGAUGCUGAACCUGGAAGUAUAGACUCAGCAGCUGAUCAUUCUGAAAGUGUAACACUUGAAUUGCAGCCUGCUGAAAGAGGCUUGCAGGGUCAGACUAUACGGGCAGAUAUAGUUUUAUGGACUAUUGGAUCUAAACCACUGCUUCCUCAGUUGGAACCUAGUGAUAAACCUUACGACAUUCCUCUGAAUGCUAGGGGACAAGCAGAAACUGAUGAAACUCUCCGUGUCAAGGGUCAUCCUCGUAUAUUUGCUGUUGGUGAUUCGUCUACAUUAAGGGACAGGAAUGGGAAGUUGCUUCCGGCUACUGCACAGGUUGCUUUUCAGCAAGCAGAUUUUGCUGGUUGGAAUUUGUGGGCUGCAAUUAAUGACCGCCCAUUGUUGCCUUUUAGGUAUCAAAAUUUAGGUGAGAUGAUGACACUUGGAAAGUAUGAUGCUGCUGUUUCACCAAGUUUCACUGAUGGGCUGACCUUGGAGGGUUUUGUUGGUCAUACUGCAAGGAAAAUAGCGUAUUUGAUCAGAUUACCAACUGAUAAACACCGCGUGCAAGUAGGAAUCAGUUGGCUACUGAAAUCCACAGUUGAUUCAGUUGCAACAAUACAGACAAUGCUCACUAAAGCCCAGUGAGGGUCCUAGAUCAGUUGCUUUUGGGUCAGUACAAUCUUCUCUGGAACCCACCCUUCUUUAUGCUGAGGAGGUAUCGACAACCCAAUUUCGAAAUCCUCUUCCUUUGUUAAGUAACUGUUUUAAGUUGUAACACUACAAACAAUGCUUGCUAAAGCUCAAAUCAGGAUCUUAGUUUAAUGUAUUUGUUGCAAUCACUUUAGGGUGGGGAGCUAGUUUACAUGUAUAUCCAUCUUUCUUAUAAAGAACAUUCAUGAACAACAGCAGGUCCAAUUAUAC